UUGCUUUUUCUUAGAUAUGUAUUAUUAGUUUCUAAGUUGUUCUUGUUAGUGACACUAUCACUAAUACCUUUAAUAUUAUCAUUAUUAUGAGAAUUACCAAUAUUAGUUUCAUUUUCUUCUUUGAGUUGUUUAGAUUUUUCUAACUCCGCACUUAGGUCUUUGUCAAAUUCUAAUUUAUCAACAUCCUUAAUGGUCAAAUAUUCAAAAUAUAUAGCAUGUAUUACCUCAAAAACAUUAUUAGUCUUUAAUUUAAAAAUCUACAUGCUUUACUAUGCAAAGAAUAACCAAUAAAAAUAGUUUUUAUAACUUUACUUCCUA
RNAcentral lists this long non-coding RNA (318 nucleotides) under Elaeis guineensis (African oil palm). RNAcentral's name for it is "long non-coding RNA (EGUI_LNC012248)". The record is from RNAcentral. Lineage: Eukaryota; Viridiplantae; Streptophyta; Magnoliopsida; Arecales; Arecaceae.